RNAcentral lists this ribosomal RNA (419 nucleotides) under Anopheles earlei. Its description in RNAcentral is "28S ribosomal RNA". Lineage: Eukaryota; Metazoa; Arthropoda; Insecta; Diptera; Culicidae. The record is from RNAcentral.
CCCGUUGAACUCAAUAGACCGGGGCGGCGACAUUCAGCCGCGCGUCGGUGCGCCUCCGGGCGUGCAGGCCGCGGUGCACUUGUCGACCUGCAGCGUACGGACAUCGCGAUCCAUUACGAACGGGGCAUUGGGGGUGCGCAAGCGCCUCCUAGCAAUCCAACACUUGGUCCCAGACUCGUGCGGUCGACCCUCCAGUAGUGGCACUUAGCUCAGAAGGCCUGUGCCGCGAAAGGGGGAUUCGGUUGGCCUCCGGGCCUUCCGGAGUUCGGCCGAGUCCGGUGUACCGUUGGAUGCGUGAUGGACUCACACGGAACUGGGGUAGAUGGAAGCGCAUGCCAUUGCGGCAUGUACCGGCACCUAGCCAUGGGCGACCACUCUCCUGAUCGGCGAUGUAUAACACUUAUUGAGGUACCUCCGGG